RNAcentral lists this ribosomal RNA (253 nucleotides) under uncultured bacterium. RNAcentral's name for it is "partial 16S ribosomal RNA". It matches the Rfam family "Bacterial small subunit ribosomal RNA", at positions 524 to 776 of the family's 1533-position model. The record is from RNAcentral.
GACGUAGGGCGCGAGCGUUGUCCGGAUUUAUUGGGCGUAAAGAGCUCGUAGGCGGCUUGUUGCGUCGGCUGUGAAAACCCGCAGCUCAACUGUGGGCUUGCAGCCGAUACGGGCAGGCUAGAAUUCGGUAGGGGAGACUGGAAUUCCUGGUGUAGCGGUGAAAUGCGCAGAUACCAGGAGGAACACCGGUGGCGAAGGCGGGUCUCUGGGCCGAUAUUGACGCUGAGGAGCGAAAGCGUGGGGAGCGAACAGG